AUGGCCUACGGGACGCAGCAGUCGGGAAUAUUGCGCAAUGGAGGAAACUCUGACGCAGUGACGCCGCGUAUGGGAAGAAGGUUUUCGGAUUGUAAACCAUUGUCGUUAGGGAAGAAGAAGUGACAGUACCUAAGGAGGAAGCUCCGGCUAACUAUGUGCCAGCAGCCGCGGUAAUACAUAGGGAGCGAGCGUUAUCCGGAUUUAUUGGGUGUAAAGGGUGCGUAGACGGGAAUACAAGUUGGCUGUGAAAUACCUCGGCUCAACUGAGGAACUGCAAGCAAAACUGUAUAUCUUGAGUACUGGAG
Molecule: ribosomal RNA, 305 nt
Filed under: uncultured bacterium
Lineage: Bacteria
Description: bacterial SSU rRNA
Rfam family: Bacterial small subunit ribosomal RNA
Source: RNAcentral